RNAcentral lists this ribosomal RNA (197 nucleotides) under uncultured bacterium. RNAcentral's name for it is "partial 16S ribosomal RNA". It matches the Rfam family "Bacterial small subunit ribosomal RNA", at positions 328 to 539 of the family's 1533-position model. The record is from RNAcentral.
ACGCUCGACACCUACGGGAGCAGCAGUGGGGAAUAUUGCACAAUGGGGGAAACCCUGAUGCAGCGACGCCGCGUGAAGGAAGAAGUAUCUCGGUAUGUAAACUUCUAUCAGCAGGGAAGAAAGUGACGGUACCUGACUAAGAAGCCCCGGCUAACUACGUGUCAGCAGCCGCGGUAAUCUGAGCGGGCUGGCAAGGC